Bubalus bubalis (water buffalo) is the source of this 85-nucleotide small nucleolar RNA. Lineage: Eukaryota; Metazoa; Chordata; Mammalia; Artiodactyla; Bovidae. The record is from RefSeq and is a predicted model, not a curated record.
GAGGCCAGCGAUGAGGACUUUACCCACACAUGUUCAUGUCUCCCACUCAUGAGAUGAAUCCACAGGCACUGCCAUCCGUGGCCAC